GAUGAAGAACGUAGCAAAAUGCGAUAAGUAAUGUGAAUUGCAGAAUUCAGUGAAUCAUCGAAUCUUUGAACGCACAUUGCGCCCCCUGGUAUUCCGGGGGGCAUGCCUGUCCGAGCGUCAUUGCUGCCCUCAAGCACGGCUUGUGUGUUGGGCCUCCGUCCUCCUCCCGGGGGACGGGCCCGAAAGGCAGCGGCGGCACCGCGUCCGGUCCUCGAGCGUAUGGGGCUUCGUCACCCGCUCUUGUAGGCCCGGCCGGCGCUUGCCGACACAUCAAUCUUUUUUCCAGGUUGACCUCGGAUCAGGUAGGGAUACCCGCUGAACUUAAGCAUAUCAAUAAGCGGAGGA
This 345-nucleotide unclassified non-coding RNA is filed under the name soil metagenome. RNAcentral's name for it is "partial contains 5.8S ribosomal RNA, internal transcribed spacer 2, and large subunit ribosomal RNA". The stretch from base 1 to 120 matches the Rfam family "5.8S ribosomal RNA", at positions 35 to 154 of the family's 154-position model. The record is from RNAcentral.